CUGAAUGUAUUUCAUCAAUCAGAAUGUAAGGAUUUACACUGAAACAUGCAUGUGGUGUGUUUGUGGUAGGCUGGCCGGGCACACCUUAUUCUGUAGAUAUCUGUGAAGGUCUGGAGGACUGGAGUGGAGCAAACAGCCUCUCUAACCCAUCUGACACUGAGGAGGAGGAGGAGGCUGCCCGUUUGGUGAGAGACGGACAUCCCACACUCACUCAGUCACUUAUAUAAGUUGCGGGCGACACUUUUUUUUUUUUUUUUUACUUGUUCAACUGUUUGUUUUAGGUUGCUGGCAGAUACAGGGCCUUCGUCGAGUGGCGUAAAAAUGGGACAGAUAAGUUCAUCAUUAAGUGUGGUGGUCCACCCCCCCCCCCCCAGUCCCUUAUAGAAAUUGGUGGGUGCACUUUUUUUUUUUUUUUUUUACUUGUUCAACUGUUUGUUUUAGGUUGCUGGCAGAUACAGGGCCUUCGUCGAGUGGCGUAAAAAUGGGACAGAUAAGUUCAUCAUUAAGUGUGGUGAUGUCAUACAACUACAGCAUGAGGAAAAUGAUGGCCAUUGGCUGGUGAAGAAUCUGAGUCGCAGACAGGAAGGCCGUAUCCCUACUGCCAAUCUGCAGGGCAUGCUGGGGGAAAGCCUCAAGAAUCACUCCAACCGGCUUGGAGACCCAGGGAAUCGUAAGGCGCGGAAGCUCAGCUCGCCGUGAAGGAAUGGCCCAGUGCUAUAUUGGACCUUUAACAUUCACACUUGGUAGCUCAGACUGUAUGUGACUACAUGGAUUCAGUCCUGACCAGCAGGAUUGUGUUCCAGAUGUUUUGAACUGAUCCUCUUUGACAGAUGCUACCAAAAUGCAAAAGACAAAUUGUUGUACAUCUUACAAGAGAUCUCGACCAUUUCAGAAAACCCAGAGAGCGCAUUUAAAAAACUGUCCUCUGCCUAAACACACUUCAGUCCUCCUGACUAGGUGAAGCCUAGAACAUUCUGACUCUGAGAUUGUCCCAAUAGACUUCAGAGUUGUUUUUAAAUUCAUCAAAAGGCCUCUUCGUUGCUGUCUUCACGGUUAACUCCUAGAAGACCUAUGAAAACAUCCUGUUCGUAAAGGACCUUCAUUUUUUAACUGUGUGUUUGUGCUGUUAUUUAUCUUGUACUGUUACUGUUAUAUUUAUCCUCAAUCUGAGCUCUUCCUGAGAGCUUCAGUGCCAAAUUAUGCAGUGCCAUAAUGCCUGUUUUCCCACUUUUAUUUAAUACAGACUUUGCUCAGUAGUGCACUAGUUACCUCAAAAAAUAUUUAAAAGCACUUUAUUCGGGUCACAAAUUUGUGGCUCUUUGUGUCUUUCUACAGCUUUAAACCGGAUGAAUUUUGCAUGCCGUAAAUUCUUGCCUCUCUUAUUUAGUAAAAUUCUCUUGUCAGGCACUUUACAUGCAGAAUCUACUCUACCAGCUUGAAGACCUGGGGGCUGUCAUGUAAGUUGACUUUGGAGCCACAAAUAUGAGUUGAGCGCAUGUGUGUUGAAAUCUGCUAAAUCAGAGCCGUGUUGAUGGAGGUUUCUUAUUAAGGGAGAUCAUACAGAAAGCAUUAACUAUACCCUCUAUUUAGAAUGCUUAAUUAAAUAUUAAUUGCAGACUUAUAUGAAUUUACUACAUUAAAUCAGGUCUACAGUUGGAGGGCUGACUUUGAUAUUUCACCGUUUGAAGUGGAAAUAAGCUGUGUGUAGCAGCAGGAGACGCUGUGCAGUACAUAUCUCUUAUGUUAUUAAUUUCGCUAUGAAGUUGUUCCCUUCCAGCGUGGAGCUUCAGCCACCCACUCAAAAUCAAGCCACGUAAAGGACACAACUUCCUGAAAACUGUGCUGUUUUAGCCAUAUAUACUGUCAGCUUUGCAUAUUUAUAUGCUUAUUCAUGUCCACUUACCAGACGUCCAACACAUUGAAUAUCUGGGAUUCAAAAUUUCAUGAUCAUUAGUUUUUCCACCAUGUUCAUGUUAAUUUUUCAAUCAAAUUUUUCACUCAGAAAUAAUGCAAAAGAGAAGCAUUUUCACUAAUGGUCUCAGAUUUUUGGACCCCA
Sinocyclocheilus grahami is the source of this 2056-nucleotide long non-coding RNA. Lineage: Eukaryota; Metazoa; Chordata; Actinopteri; Cypriniformes; Cyprinidae. The record is from Ensembl.